This 401-nucleotide ribosomal RNA is filed under the name uncultured bacterium. RNAcentral's name for it is "bacterial SSU rRNA". It matches the Rfam family "Bacterial small subunit ribosomal RNA", at positions 359 to 776 of the family's 1533-position model. The record is from RNAcentral.
GAAUAUUGGACAAUGGGCGAAAGCCUGACCCAGCAACGCCGCGUGGGCGAUGAAGGCCUUCGGGUCGUAAAGCCCUAUUGUGGGGGAAGAUGAUGACGGUACCCCACGAAUAAGCCACGGCUAACUACGUGCCAGCAGCCGCGGUAAUACGGGGGGAGCAAGCGUUGUUCGGAUUUACUGGGCGUAAAGGGCGCGUAGGCGGCCACCGCAAGUCGACUGUGAAAUCUCCGGGCUUAACCCGGAAAGGUCAGCCGAUACUGCGGGGCUAGAGUGCAGAAGGGGCAACUGGAAUUCUCGGUGUAGCGGUGAAAUGCGUAGAUAUCGAGAGGAACACCUGCGGCGAAGGCGGGUUGCUGGGCUGACACUGACGCUGAGGCGCGAAAGCUAGGGGAGCGAACGGG